RNAcentral lists this ribosomal RNA (554 nucleotides) under uncultured bacterium. RNAcentral describes it as "bacterial SSU rRNA". It matches the Rfam family "Bacterial small subunit ribosomal RNA", at positions 347 to 916 of the family's 1533-position model. The record is from RNAcentral.
GGCAGCAGUAGGGAAUAUUGCACAAUGGGCGAAAGCCUGAUGCAGCAACGCCGCGUGCGCGAAGAAGGCCUUCGGGUUGUAAAGCGCUUUUCUGGAGGAAGAGGAAGGACGGUACUCCAGGAAUAAGGAUCGGCUAACUACGUGCCAGCAGCCGCGGUAGCACGUAGGAUCCGAGCGUUAUCCGAAUUUACUGGGCGUAAAGCGCACGUAGGUGGCAUGGUAAGUCAAAGGUGAAAGCCCUCGGCUCAACCGAGGAACUGCCUUUGAAACUGCUUUGCUUGAGUCCGGGAGGGGGGAGCGGAAUUCCCAGUGUAGCGGUGAAAUGCGUAGAUACUGGGAGGAACACCGGUGGCGAAGGCGGCUCCCUGGACCGGUACUGACACUGAGGUGCGAAAGCGUGGGUAGCAAACAGGAUUAGAUACCCUGGUAGUCCACGCCGUAAACGAUGGGCACUAGGUGCAGCGGGUGUCGACCCCUGCUGUGCCGUAGUUAACGCAUUAAGUGCCCCGCCUGGGGAGUACGGUCGCAAGGCUGAAACUCAAAUGAAUUGACGG